Molecule: ribosomal RNA, 445 nt
Filed under: uncultured bacterium
Lineage: Bacteria
Description: bacterial SSU rRNA
Rfam family: Bacterial small subunit ribosomal RNA
Source: RNAcentral
CCCAGACUCCUACGGGAGGCAGCAGUAGGGAAUCUUUCACAAUGGGGGAAACCCUGAUGCAGCGACGCCGCGUGAGUGAAGAAGUAUUUCGGUAUGUAAAGCUCUAUCAGCAGGGAAGAAGAUGACAGUACCUGAGUAGGAAGCCCCGGCUAACUACGUGCCAGCAGCCGCGGUAAUACGUAGGGGGCAAGCGUUAUCCGGAUUUACUGGGUGUAAAGGGAGCGUAGACGGUUAUGUAAGUCUGGAGUGAAGGCCCGGGGCCCAACCCCGGGACUGCUUUGGAAACUGUGUAACUAGAGUACAGGAGGGGCAGGCGGAAUUCCUGGUGUAGCGGUGAAAUGCGUAGAUAUCAGGAGGAACACCGGCGGCGAAGGCGGCCUGCUGGACUGAAACUGACGUUGAGGCUCGAAAGCGUGGGGAGCAAACAGGAUUAGAUACCCGAGUA